RNAcentral lists this ribosomal RNA (1254 nucleotides) under Levilactobacillus brevis. RNAcentral's name for it is "bacterial SSU rRNA". It matches the Rfam family "Bacterial small subunit ribosomal RNA", at positions 215 to 1470 of the family's 1533-position model. Lineage: Bacteria; Bacillati; Bacillota; Bacilli; Lactobacillales; Lactobacillaceae. The record is from RNAcentral.
UGGGAAUUUAAUUCCCGGCGGGCGUAUUUAAUGUAGUUGGUGGAGGUUAAGGCAUCAGACGAUGGAUACGUAGCCGACUGAGAGGGCUAUCCGUCACAUCGACUGAGACACGGCCAACUCUACGGGAGGCAGCAGUAGGAAUCUCACCAAUUGGACGAAAGUCUGAUGAGCAAUGCCGCGUGAGUGAAGAAGGGUUUCGGCUCGUAAAACUCUGUUGUUAAAGAAGAACACCUUUGAGAGUAACUGUUCAAGGGUUGACGGUAUUUAACCAGAAAGCCACGGCUAACUACGUGCCAGCAGCCGCGGUAAUACGUAGGUGGCAAGCGUUGUCCGGAUUUAUUGGGCGUAAAGCGAGCGCAGGCGGUUUUUUAAGUCUGAUGUGAAAGCUUCGGCUUAACCGGAGAAGUGCAUCGGAAACUGGGAGACUUGAGUGCAGAAGAGGACAGUGGAACUCCAUGUGUAGCGGUGGAAUGCGUAGAUAUAUGGAAGAACACCAGUGGCGAAGGCGGCUGUCUAGUCUGUAACUGACGCUGAGGCUCGAAAGCAUGGGUAGCGAACAGGAUUAGAUACCCUGGUAGUCCAUGCCGUAAACGAUGAGUGCUAAGUGUUGGAGGGUUUCCGCCCUUCAGUGCUGCAGCUAACGCAUUAAGCACUCCGCCUGGGGAGUACGACCGCAAGGUUGAAACUCAAAGGAAUUGACGGGGGCCCGCACAAGCGGUGGAGCAUGUGGUUUAAUUCGAAGCUACGCGAAGAACCUUACCAGGUCUUGACAUCUUCUGCCAAUCUUAGAGAUAAGACGUUCCCUUCGGGGACAGAAUGACAGGUGGUGCAUGGUUGUCGUCAGCUCGUGUCGUGAGAUGUUGGGUUAAGUCCCGCAACGAGCGCAACCCUUAUUAUCAGUUGCCAGCAUUCAGUUGGGCACUCUGGUGAGACUGCCGGUGACAAACCGGAGGAAGGUGGGGAUGACGUCAAAUCAUCAUGCCCCUUAUGACCUGGGCUACACACGUGCUACAAUGGACGGUACAACGAGUUGCGAAGUCGUGAGGCUAAGCUAAUCUCUUAAAGCCGUUCUCAGUUCGGAUUGUAGGCUGCAACUCGCCUACAUGAAGUUGGAAUCGCUAGUAAUCGCGGAUCAGCAUGCCGCGGUGAAUACGUUCCCGGGCCUUGUACACACCGCCCGUCACACCAUGAGAGUUUGUAACACCCAAAGCCGGUGAGAUAACCUUCGGGAGUCAGCCGUCUAAGCUGAUCAUA